CUGUCAUUGCAUUGUUGAGAUGGUCGAGUUUCUGAAACGUGCAUGUUUAAAUAAGCGGUUAUAUCCACUUCACACAAACUGCCAUUUAUAUAAAAAUCAUUUACCAUUUAUAUAAGAGUCAUUUACAAAAUUAUAUUUAUAUCAUAUCUCCUCGUAUUAUGCAUUGACUAUUUUCAUUAGGCUACAGAAGUCAUCCAUAGGAAUAGAAACCAACAUAUCCAAUAAUCAACACAUAAUCAAUGAUAAAACAUUUCUAUCAUAGGCCUAACGUCACCAAUAGUUAUUCUCUCUUUCAAACUCAGAGAUGGGUGAUGGGGCGGGCAUAUUUACUCGUCAGCGUCGCAUCAACCACUGUCUUGGGAAGAGGUGAUGAAUAGUAGCCUUCCAAUACCGGGCUACACAAUCUUGCAGUUGGAAAUAAGUGAAGUGAGUAACUUUUAUUCAGAUGUUUUGACACUGAGAAACGCUAUUGAUAAGGAGCCAGUAGAAGCAAAUAGCCGAGCAGAUCUUGAAGGUUGUAAUAGUCGCUUACAGUAACGUUAAGCCAACUUGCCUGCACCGCGUUCAGCGUAUCGCUGUCCACCUGCCUGUCUGAUUACAACGAGGAAAGCGACGUGCACCAUGAAAGGGAUGCAUUGAGGUGAAGGCUCUGGGCUGUGUCUCUUGUCUGAUGUCAACCUGGCUUGACGUUUGUAUGGGUCUUUACCUCCAACCAAAGUUGCCGUGCCAACCAGACCUCCCCGGGUGGACCCAGCGAAGGAGUCGACUCCCAAAGAGUCUGUCUUCAGCACAGUAGCAUCCUGACGCCGUCUGAGCACAUCGCAGCAGCUCUGCUAUAUUCAGCUUCUAUUCUGUGGCUUGGGAUGUCUAGUCUCUAACUCGUCUCCGGCUGCUUAUCUCUGAGGUCUGUAUCUCCUCGGAUGGCUAUUUCCACACUCACUUGUUCUCUCGCUGUCUGCCCCCUUUGCUGCCAUCCCACUAUCAGUAAUGUGUGUGUGUGUGUGUGUGUGUGUGUGUGUGUGUGUGUGUGUGUGUGUGUGUGUGUGUGUGUGUGUGUGUGUGUGUGUGUGUGUGUGUGUGUGUGUGUGUGUGUGGGGGAUGUGUGUGUGUGUGUGUGUUUGUGUGUGUGUGUGAGACACUGUUUUAUGGUGUGUUUGUGUGUGUGUGCCUGUGUUCAUCGUUGGUGUCUGUGCCUGGUGUGUGUGUGUGUGUGUGUUUUGUGUGCCUCUGACAGUGAUACAUUUGCUGGCUUGCGUUAUUGUCAGCCGAAAGAUCAUGAUUAUUUAUCUCGGAAUUGUGCAAUGCCAGUUACAGAUGUCUUCCCAGAUAGGCUUGGCCCAGAGACAAGGCUUGUGCAUUUGCUUGGUGUGUGUGUGUGUGUGUGUGUGUGUGUGUGUGUGUGUGUGUGUGUGUGUGUGUGUGUGUGUGUGUGUGUGUGUGUGUGUGUGUGUGUGUGUGUGUGUGUGUGUGUGUGUGUGUGUGUGUGUGUUUGU
Molecule: long non-coding RNA, 1493 nt
Organism: Gadus macrocephalus (Pacific cod)
Lineage: Eukaryota; Metazoa; Chordata; Actinopteri; Gadiformes; Gadidae
Exons: 4
Source: RefSeq, a predicted model, not a curated record